RNAcentral lists this ribosomal RNA (294 nucleotides) under uncultured bacterium. RNAcentral describes it as "partial 16S ribosomal RNA". It matches the Rfam family "Bacterial small subunit ribosomal RNA", at positions 335 to 644 of the family's 1533-position model. The record is from RNAcentral.
UGCCUACGGGGCGCAGCAGUGGGGAAUAUUGGGCAAUGGGCGCAAGCCUGACCCAGCAACGCCGCGUGAAGGAAGAAGGCUUUCGGGUUGUAAACUUCUUUUAUCAGGGACGAAGCAAGUGACGGUACCUGAUGAAUAAGCCACGGCUAACUACGUGCCAGCAGCCGCGGUAAUACGUAGGUGGCAAGCGUUAUCCGGAUUUACUGGGUGUAAAGGGCGUGUGGCCGGGCCGGCAAGUCAGAUGUGAAAUCCCAAGGCUCAACCUUGGAACUGCAUUUGAAACUGUUGGUCUUG